UACGGGGGGGGCAAGCGUUGUUCGGAAUUACUGGGCGUAAAGGGCUCGUAGGCGGCCAACUAAGUCGGAUGUGAAAUCCCCAGGCUUAACCUGGGAACUGCAUCCGAUACUGGAUGGCUUGAAUUCGGGAGAGGGAUGCAGAAUUCCAGGUGUAGCGGUGAAAUGCGCAGAUAUCAGGAGGAACACCGGUGGCGAAGGCGGGUCUCUGGGCAGUAACUGACGCUGAGGAGCGAAAGCGUGGGGAGCGAACAGG
RNAcentral lists this ribosomal RNA (253 nucleotides) under uncultured bacterium. Its description in RNAcentral is "partial 16S ribosomal RNA". It matches the Rfam family "Bacterial small subunit ribosomal RNA", at positions 524 to 776 of the family's 1533-position model. The record is from RNAcentral.